RNAcentral lists this transfer RNA (69 nucleotides) under Ictidomys tridecemlineatus (thirteen-lined ground squirrel). RNAcentral describes it as "Spermophilus tridecemlineatus (thirteen-lined ground squirrel) tRNA". It matches the Rfam family "tRNA". From Rfam's summary of the family: Transfer RNA (tRNA) molecules are approximately 80 nucleotides in length. Their secondary structure includes four short double-helical elements and three loops (D, anti-codon, and T loops). The record is from Rfam by way of RNAcentral. Lineage: Eukaryota; Metazoa; Chordata; Mammalia; Rodentia; Sciuridae.
GGGGUUGUGGCUUAGCGGUAUAGUGCUUGCCUAGCAAGUGAAAGGCCCUGGGUUCAAUCCUCAGCACCA